CUGCUUUUUCUUUUUCUUGUCCUUCUCCAGUUUCUGUUUGUGUCUCCGUUCUUCUUCCAGUUUCACAUACUGGUCAGACAUUGGCAUUCCUGGAACUUUCAAGGGGACAGAAAGGUCGAUCUGGACCACGGGGAUAUGUUCCACACCUGGAGUGUCCUGGUAACGCUUCUGCGGGGAAGGAGAGCUUUUAAUAUAAAAGGGAUUGUUUGCCUGUUCUUGUUUCCG
RNAcentral lists this long non-coding RNA (225 nucleotides) under Gallus gallus (chicken). The record is from RNAcentral. Lineage: Eukaryota; Metazoa; Chordata; Aves; Galliformes; Phasianidae.